GCCUAGCUGGCUCAGUCAGUGGAGUGAGUGACUCUUAAUCUCAGGGUUGUAGGUUUGAGUCCCACAUUGGGUG
Molecule: transfer RNA, 73 nt
Filed under: Ailuropoda melanoleuca (giant panda)
Lineage: Eukaryota; Metazoa; Chordata; Mammalia; Carnivora; Ursidae
Rfam family: tRNA
About the family: Transfer RNA (tRNA) molecules are approximately 80 nucleotides in length. Their secondary structure includes four short double-helical elements and three loops (D, anti-codon, and T loops).
Source: Rfam by way of RNAcentral